AAGGGGAGGCAUGGCGGCCCGCGUGGCUCCUUCGAGGGCUCGGGACUUUCGUAUGUCCGCCCGGCUGAGGCGGUUCCCGCCCCCCGCCCCGCGGCCCCGGAGGCUCCGGCGGAGAUUGUCGCUGCUCAGGAUGGCUGGUUCCAGGAUGUUUGCAGCUUCCCCGCCAGGCCUGGGUAUCAGUAGGGGCCUGCUGUCCCUCUCCGUCUAGGGAGACCGGUGAAGGUUUUUUCUGGACCAGAGUCUGGGACAUCUCAGGUGCUGGGGACCCUCCCGGCCCUCGCCCGAUGCCCAUCGCCGGCUGGCCGCAGAGCCGACCUCUCACCUGUCCCCGCCCGGUGUGACCCCGGCCCUCGCCCAGCCCCGGGGCUGCGGCAGAAACAGUUUCAGCCCCAUGUCCCCGGUCGGUUUGUCGUAUUAAAAAC
Long non-coding RNA from Suricata suricatta (meerkat), 422 nucleotides. RefSeq lists it as uncharacterized. The transcript is spliced from 3 exons. The record is from RefSeq and is a predicted model, not a curated record. Lineage: Eukaryota; Metazoa; Chordata; Mammalia; Carnivora; Herpestidae.